RNAcentral lists this ribosomal RNA (500 nucleotides) under uncultured bacterium. Its description in RNAcentral is "partial 16S ribosomal RNA". It matches the Rfam family "Bacterial small subunit ribosomal RNA", at positions 29 to 523 of the family's 1533-position model. The record is from RNAcentral.
AUUGAACGCUGGCGGCAUGCCUUACACAUGCAAGUCGAACGGCAGCACGGGAGCAAUCCUGGUGGCGAGUGGCGAACGGGUGAGUAAAGUAUCGGAACGUGCCCAGUCGUGGGGAAUAACGUAGCGAAAGUUACGCUAAUACCGCAUACGAUCUAUGGAUGAAAGCGGGGGAUCGCAAGACCUCGCGCGAUUGGAGCGGCCGAUAUCAGAUUAGGUAGUUGGUGGGGUAAAGGCUCACCAAGCCGACGAUCUGUAGCUGGUCUGAGAGGACGACCAGCCACACUGGGACUGAGACACGGCCCAGACUCCUACGGGAGGCAGCAGUGGGGAAUAUUGCACAAUGGGCGCAAGCCUGAUGCAGCCAUGCCGCGUGUAUGAAGAAGGCCUUCGGGUUGUAAAGUACUUUCAGCGGGGAGGAAGGCGAUGUGGUUAAUAACCGCGUCGAUUGACGUUACCCGCAGAAGAAGCACCGGCUAACUCCGUGCCAGCCGCCGCCGUAA